This 227-nucleotide long non-coding RNA is filed under the name Homo sapiens (human). Its description in RNAcentral is "non-protein coding lnc-CEP126-3:1". The record is from RNAcentral. Lineage: Eukaryota; Metazoa; Chordata; Mammalia; Primates; Hominidae.
CAGGUACCAAAACUAUAGAAGUAUUAAGGAUCAGAGUUAAACUAAGACAUGGGCUCUAUCUUCCAGAACCCACACCUUCAUCAGUUAGUUUGCCUCUUCCUGGUCUGGGAGAUUGGUUAACACACCAUGACCAACAUGAUUUCACCAAGGAAGAGGAAUGGGAGGAAGAAACGGGCAUAUACUCUACUCUGACAUCCUGCCUCCUGCUGGAGCCAUCUGGAGAAAUA